ACCGUAGCUCAGUUGGUUAGAGCGUGGGACUCAUAAGCCCAAGGUCACUGGUUCGAUCCCAGUCGG
This 66-nucleotide transfer RNA is filed under the name bovine gut metagenome. It matches the Rfam family "tRNA", at positions 5 to 66 of the family's 71-position model. Rfam says of the family: Transfer RNA (tRNA) molecules are approximately 80 nucleotides in length. Their secondary structure includes four short double-helical elements and three loops (D, anti-codon, and T loops). Further hydrogen bonds mediate the characteristic L-shaped molecular structure. tRNAs have two regions of fundamental functional importance: the anti-codon, which is responsible for specific mRNA codon recognition, and the 3' end, to which the tRNAs corresponding amino acid is attached (by aminoacyl-tRNA synthetases). tRNAs cope with the degeneracy of the genetic code in two manners: having more than one tRNA (with a specific anti-codon) for a particular amino acid; and 'wobble' base-pairing, i.e. permitting non-standard base-pairing at the 3rd anti-codon position. The record is from RNAcentral.